ACGCUCGACACCUACGGGGGCAGCAGUGGGGAAUAUUGGGCAAUGGGCGCAAGCCUGACCCAGCAACGCCGCGUGAAGGAAGAAGGCCCUCGGGUUGUAAACUUCUUUUAACAGGGACGAAGUAAGUGACGGUACCUGUUGAAUAAGCCACGGCUAACUACGUGCCCGCAGCCGCGGUAAUCUGAGCGGGCUGGCAAGGC
This 200-nucleotide ribosomal RNA is filed under the name uncultured bacterium. Its description in RNAcentral is "partial 16S ribosomal RNA". It matches the Rfam family "Bacterial small subunit ribosomal RNA", at positions 328 to 539 of the family's 1533-position model. The record is from RNAcentral.